Non-coding RNA from Schistocerca piceifrons (Central American locust), 81 nucleotides. Lineage: Eukaryota; Metazoa; Arthropoda; Insecta; Orthoptera; Acrididae. The record is from the annotation of a RefSeq genome assembly.
AAAAAAAUAGCUCAGUUGGGAGAGCGUUAGACUGAAGAUCUAAAGGUCCCUGGUUCGAUCCCGGGUUUCGGCAGGUAUUCA